CCCAAUUGGCGGCGUGCCUAUACAUGCAGUCGAGCGCAGGAAGCAAGUUGAUCCCCUUCGGGGGUGACGCUUGUGGAAUGAGCGGCGGACGGGUGAGUAACACGUGGGCAACCUGCCUGUAAGACUGGGAUAACCCCGGGAAACCGGGGCUAAUACCGGAUAAUACUUUCUUUUGCAUAAAGGAAAGUUGAAAGGCGGCUUCGGCUGUCACUUACAGAUGGGCCCGCGGCGCAUUAGCUAGUUGGUGAGGUAACGGCUCACCAAGGCGACGAUGCGUAGCCGACCUGAGAGGGUGAUCGGCCACACUGGGACUGAGACACGGCCCAGACUCCUACGGGAGGCAGCAGUAGGGAAUCUUCCGCAAUGGACGAAAGUCUGACGGAGCAACGCCGCGUGAGUGAUGAAGGUUUUCGGAUCGUAAAACUCUGUUGUUAGGGAAGAACAAGUUGGGUAGUAACUGACCCAGCCUUGACGGUACCUAACCAGAAAGCCACGGCUAACUACGUGCCAGCAGCCGCGGUAAUACGUAGGUGGCAAGCGUUGUCCGGAAUUAUUGGGCGUAAAGCGCUCGCAGGCGGUCCUUUAAGUCUGAUGUGAAAUCUCGCGGCUCAACCGCGAACGGUCAUUGGAAACUGGAGGACUUGAGUACAGAAGAGGAGAGUGGAAUUCCACGUGUAGCGGUGAAAUGCGUAGAGAUGUGGAGGAACACCAGUGGCGAAGGCGACUCUCUGGUCUGUAACUGACGCUGAGGAGCGAAAGCGUGGGGAGCGAACAGGAUUAGAUACCCUGGUAGUCCACGCCGUAAACGAUGAGUGCUAGGUGUUAGGGGGUUUCCGCCCCUUAGUGCUGAAGUUAACGCAUUAAGCACUCCGCCUGGGGAGUACGGCCGCAAGGCUGAAACUCAAAAGAAUUGACGGGGGCCCGCACAAGCGGUGGAGCAUGUGGUUUAAUU
This 952-nucleotide ribosomal RNA is filed under the name Oceanobacillus picturae. RNAcentral's name for it is "bacterial SSU rRNA". It matches the Rfam family "Bacterial small subunit ribosomal RNA", at positions 29 to 951 of the family's 1533-position model. The record is from RNAcentral. Lineage: Bacteria; Bacillati; Bacillota; Bacilli; Caryophanales; Bacillaceae.